UGUGCAAAUUCGCGCACGAUGUCGCGUGCCGUCGACGCGUCGUCUUUGCGCACCUCUUACUUUCUUAUCAUAUAGGUACUGUCCCGUCGUUGUUUACGCAGUUUCGGCAUGCACAAUCGGUGGAUUGCAGCCAGUUUCGUGUCGGUCGCUAGUUAAUCCAGUUGUGUUUUGAGAGACUUAUAUCGUUUAUUCGUGUUAUACUCGAAGAUCAAUCGAAUGUUUAUUUGUACUUUGCGAUUAUAGUAAUUUGUUUAAUGUUCGGACAUGCCGGUUUUUGAUCGCGUUUGUUAUGUAGGUAUUACAAGUCACGUGAUAGUGGAUUUGAUAACAUUCUUCACUCGGCGUUGUGUUUGAUGUCAGUUACUAAGUUAAUCGUAAAUAUGUAUAUCGGCACCAUGUCGAUCCUCAUCAUUAAGAAAUAUCCAUCAUGCUCGUUUACAGCACUCGGUGUGCCUGGCAGUCCGAUAAGCUGUACACUGCCGGCGAACGCAAUGUCGUGGGACAGCC
Long non-coding RNA from Dalotia coriaria, 507 nucleotides. RefSeq lists it as uncharacterized. The record is from RefSeq and is a predicted model, not a curated record. NCBI's taxonomy places the organism in Eukaryota, Metazoa, Arthropoda, Insecta, Coleoptera, Staphylinidae. The transcript has 3 exons.